AAAGUAGCAAAGGAAGUGCAAUACAAAACACUGCAAACAAAAGUAGCAAAUAUCUAUGACAUCUGCGAAGGAAGUAGGAAGGCCACAGAGGAGAAGCUAUUUAUGAGACGAUGUGAACGGGAAGAGAAAGAAAAGAAGCUGUCAAUUGCCCAAGAUAAAGAGAAGUCAGCUAGUGAAGAAAUACUGUAUUUAAAGAAAAAAACUGAAGAAAUUCAAGAACAAGUGCAGAAAAAAGAGAAUCACCUUCAACACCAGAUCAUCAUUUAC
This is a long non-coding RNA of Tupaia belangeri chinensis (Chinese tree shrew), 267 nucleotides long. RefSeq lists it as uncharacterized. The transcript is spliced from 4 exons. Lineage: Eukaryota; Metazoa; Chordata; Mammalia; Scandentia; Tupaiidae. The record is from RefSeq and is a predicted model, not a curated record.